Molecule: ribosomal RNA, 254 nt
Filed under: uncultured bacterium
Lineage: Bacteria
Description: partial 16S ribosomal RNA
Rfam family: Bacterial small subunit ribosomal RNA
Source: RNAcentral
UACAGAGGGUGCGAGCGUUGUCCGGAAUCACUGGGCGUAAAGGGCGCGUAGGUGGUGGCUUAAGCGUGCGGUGAAAGCUCGGGGCUCAACCCCGAGUCGGCCGUGCGAACUGGGCUCACUGGAGCAUAGUAGAGGCAGGUGGAAUUCCGGGUGUAGCGGUGGAAUACGUAGAGAUCCGGAAGAACACCGGUGGCGAAGGCGGCUUCCUGGACCGACACUGACGCUGAGGCGCGAAAGCUAGGGGAGCAAACGGG